Papaver somniferum (opium poppy) is the source of this 1313-nucleotide RNA transcript. RefSeq lists it as uncharacterized. The transcript is spliced from 6 exons. The record is from RefSeq and is a predicted model, not a curated record. Lineage: Eukaryota; Viridiplantae; Streptophyta; Magnoliopsida; Ranunculales; Papaveraceae.
GGUUGGUGCCGCUUACUUUAGCUUCAAUGAGUGCAUCAGAUGAUCAAAAGGAGAUAUUGGAAUAUCUCUACCCUGUAACUAGAGACUAUGUAUCCCAGGUUACUGGGGACGCCGGUCCAAGUCCAUUUGCCAAUAGUAUGGGUGCGUGUCUAGUUAUCGCGCUAAUUGAAGCAGAUUCCUAUGGUACUGCAUUAUCUAUUUGCCGGCAGUUUCCAUAUUUGGUUAAACAAAUGGUUGCGGUAGCCGAAGGCGAGUAUUCCCUAUUACAAAAGAUUGUAGAGAGGCCGUUUUCAUUUCUCAGCGGUGCUAAUCUAACAUGGUGGGAACGCAGCAUCUACUCAUUGAUUGAAGUGAACAUGGAUCGUCCAAUGGACUAUGACAUCACGAUAGACAAAGAUAAGCUUUCGCCUGGAAGCUCCAAAGGCACCAAAAAAGAUGAAGAGAACCCUCCAGAGACCUCUAAAGGCUCCGCAACUAGUGAGGGCAUCUCGACUGAUUAUAAGGGAAAUAUAACCGGUUACAUUUCAGUCUAUCUCAGGCGCUACUUAAUGCUAGUGCCUCAUGUCAAACAGUUAUAUAACAAAAAGUUGAUGCACCAACAAGCCGUUGCUUUGGUUAAAAAUGGAUUAACUUCUCUUUAUGAAUCAAAGACCAACUUACAACUGGAAAACUAUUUCAGUAAUUCGAGCAUCAUGAGUACAGCCAUAAAAUACGGAUCCACGGAAUUUGUAUUGGAGUGUCUUGGGACAUUUAGAUUCCUAAUUUAUCAUCCAGACCUGAGUUUAAAAAUAAGUAAAAUGGUUAUUGAAGAGCGGAAUGUGAAGAUGUUUAACUACAUUUGUGAAGAAAACGAAAAAUUGAAAAGGGAUAGACUUUCUUUUUUGGACGAAAAUAAAAACACUAUCUUACACUACGCUGCCACAUUAGCCAGUACUCGUCAACUCAACUCCAUACCCGGUGCAGCAUUUCAAGUGCAGAAACAAAUGCAGUGGUUUAAGGGGGUUGAAAGCAUUGUGUUACGGAAGGAUAGGUUUGUAAGAAAUGGCGAUGGGCAUACAGCCCGAUUUUAUUCACAGAGAACCACAAGGAAUUAAUGGGAAAAGGGGAGACAUGGAUGAAGGAUACAUCCGGAUCAUGUAUGUUAGUAGGUGCUCUCAUAGCAACUGUAGCAUUUGCAGCUGCUCUUACUGUCCCCGGUGGUAACUAUACACGUCUCGAUAUUCAGAAGAGGACUUUCUGAAAUCAUUACCGCAAAAAAUGAUUAUAGGGCUUGCAACUCUCUUCCUUUCGAUGGCCACCAUAUUAGUUUCUUU